UCAGGGAGCUCGGCGGCGACUGCCGUCCGGGGUCUCGGAGCAGCUCGCGGCCGCGUGAUGGACCGAGCAAGGAUGGGGCGCUGGGCGCGCAGGAUAGCGUCAGCUAAAGAAGGACUGAAGCAGAAAAUCCUUCUGGAGGGAACUUUGUAAAUAAGGAACCUCAGCUUCCAGUUAAUACUUACUCCCAAGGAAACUAUCAAUAUCCAUUACUGAGGCUCCUCAAUCCAGCCGAAUCUGGUAGUGAAGUUGAUGACGGAACAGGCAUCGUUGACACAUAAGAGAUCCAUGGCCUGAAUGAGGCAUGAAUGUGACAUGAGUGAAUGUUUCUAUAAUCAAUGAGAUUUCAGAUCUUUAAUUUUAAAAAAAUCUAUCUUUACUGGAGUGUUUCCUAUCCCUAGUGACCCAACCUUUCCAAGUGGCUGAUCGAGGAGAAAAAAGGAAAAAUGAGGAGGAAGAGGAGGAGGAGGAGGAGGAGGAGAAAAACCCUAUGAAACCAUUGGCAAAGGAGGAAAGUAUGCAAAGGAGGCAUAAUUGAAACUGGAAAAAAGGUCAGAGCAUCCUGGGCCAGGCAGCACAGGGAGGUGGAAAUUGCAUUAGGCCCUGAGGGAUCAAUAUUAAUAAUAUAGGUUAAAGGGAUAUGCCCAUAAAGGCAUUUGACUAAAAAGGCAAUAAAGUGGCAGCAUUUCCUGCCCUUCAAGUCUCUAAGGGUUGUUUUUAAUGAGUGGAAAAAAAUUUUAAAUGUUCUACAGUUUUGCCACUACACUUUCUUUCUUGUGCUGCCACACUUCCCAUGACUUUUAUUAUGGCAUUAAAAUAUUUCCCAGGCAUUAUCGCCACUUCUACCCUGUGACAGAAUUUUAAAGGGGACCAGUGGUGAAGUGAAUAAGCAAACAGUGGAGUGAAGACCAUCUGAGAAUGCAGCUCCGGGACCUCCCACCCACGACGUGCUCCACCUCUCACCAUACCCAAAGGCCUGGACAGAAAGCCCCACAGGAUUCUCUUCCCCAAGGAAAUAGUUUCCAGUCCUGUCUUGCAUAAAAUUUCCUGUUGAAAGGAAUGGUUCAGAGUCAUUCACAUCACAUUUGUAGCUUUUUGUGCAGCUGAGAGGCUGUUUCAAUUAUACAAUGGAGGCAAUUUAGGAAAGCCAAAGGAAAUGUGGAUGCCACUGGAUACAGGACAAAGAUUUUCACAGGUUCUCAUUGAUUUUUUUUUGGUACCGGGGAACGAACUUGGGUCCUUGCGCUUGCGCAGCAGGCGGUGAAACCACUGAACUAAAUCCCCGGCCCAGGUUCUCAUUGAUUUUGAGAUACUGAUUCUCUGCUCAGUUCUCUUAAGAAGGUGUGAAUUUGCUGGAGACAUAUUUGAAGGGAAAGUGAUGUGGAAUAGUCUCUAGAGGACCUCGAAGAUUCUUUUGAUAUUAAGACUUUAAAAUGAUAAAUCUCCUUUUGCACGUGCCUAGUAUAUGCGAGAUUUUCAGUAUUUAUUUAACAGAUUAUUAUUAGCCACCUACUCUGCAAGCAUCAAGGAUAUCGUGUAGAAUGAAAUAGGCACUCUCUACCUUUGAUGGUUCCUAGUCUAGAAGGAAGGCAAUCAACCAAAUAUAAUCAAGUCUGUCUUAGGUGCCACAAUGCAGGACUACUGUAUGGUGUUGAAGAACACUUGGAAGGGAUUCGGGCUAUUCAGCAAAAUCAGAGAAGAUCCACAGGAAGUGCUGACUGAGCUAAGAUGUGAGGAAGGGGCAAGUAUUAUAUGGAUGAUACAGUGAAGGAAGGAGGCAGGAAUGCAGGACAAGCUUCCUGGUAGGUCUAUGUGGUGAUGGCAGAAGAAUCCAAGAUGAGGCUUGGAGCAGAAGUUGCCGAGGAGGUCAGGGGACAGGUUCCACAGACUUUGCUAUAGUCCACGAUUAGAUAUUCUCAUCCUACUCUGCAGAUUACUUAAUAUCCUCACUUUACAGAAUAAGAAAAGAAAUCUCAGAAGGUUGAGGAACUGGUCCAAAAUCAAAGAACUAGUAGGUACCGAGGUGAGGCUAGUACAAGAUUUAUCUACUUCAGAACGUGGAUUUUUCAGCCCAUCCUCCUAGUGACUGGCAAUCCUACACUGGCCCCUGCCUUAGUGCAUGCUACCUCUGCUUGGCUUGUUAAGGACAACCUCAUGCUCUGAUUUGGGGUUCUAACUCACCAAACCAUACUCUGCUAUGAUAAGUGUCCGCUUCACCUGUCCAAUUUGAGUCCAUGUUUCGGAUAAUGCUAACUUUUCAGUUAUCCAACCAGAGCCAUCAAUAUUGAGAGCUCUCUUGGGUGACUAUGAUAACACCCUUCCAGAAAUAAAACAGCUAGCUACAUUGUUUCACUCACAUAAGACAUUUAUUCUUGUUCUUUGAGCAGGAGUAGCAACCUUGGUUGUUUCUUGUGUUCUUCAUUGUAACCUCAGUGAGUCACUCAGUGAGGUAGAGAUAUAUUAUUACUUCCUUUUUAUAAGCUAGGAAAUUGAGGAUUACCAAGUGGAAGCAACUUGCCUGAGGUCACCCAGUUUAUGAAUGAUGAGAUGAGGUUUGAAUCCAGGAGACGCAUUUGAAUCCAAAGCCAAGCUUUUGACUUGCUCUUUCAAAAAUUCAACUUUAGGAGGAAAAUUGGUGUUUUAAGAAAAUCAGUAAAUAGGAAAAUCCCUAAACUGGUUACAUGCCAGUAUGUACUAGAAUUCAACAAUAAUUACAUUGUUAAAGACGGAAGAACUUGUCAUAAAAAGAUUCCCUGAAGCUUUGACACCAAUUACAGAUGCUUUAGGAAAUCACUGUGAUUUCCUAACUUAAGAAAUCGAGUUUAUUAUGCAGGAUGGUUCUUUUAACAGAAAUGGCUCAGACCCAAAUAUGAAAGAUACAUACAUUUUGACAAUGUGUGUGCAAGUGUCUGGGGGUGGGCAUGGUAGGUGGAAAGGGAAAGAGUAAGGAAAUUAUUCUAAUUUGGUGAGCUUUUAAAAAUGGCAAGUUUGUUGCAAAGUUCACAUGGCCAGGCAGAGGUGAGGAGGAGGGGGUAGAGCGGAUUGCUGAGUUAGAUAAGCCACAGUGUGAGGGGCUGUCUUUGCGGAGCUGUACUUCUUCUUUUGUAAAGAAGGAAGCUUUCUUUCAUGGUGCAUUUAUGUCAAAAUUUUAAAAUCUCUCACAUGAGACCAUCAUAUCAACCUUGUCAGGUCUCACUUGUGGGAAUGAGUGGGAUUUGAAAACUUCUGAGUGUGCUAUUACACUUUCCAUAUCUGUGUGGGGAAUGUGACUGCAUGGAAAUGUGACCGAGAGUCACAGGGGGUGGGGUCUGAGGGGUGCAGCUUCAAACUAAUGAACCAAGUGGGUUGCUUCAGGUGGGGCAAGGACUUUGGGAAGAAAAUAUAUUUUAUUUUUUACACUUUUUACUUGUAUCACCUUAAUGAAACUGUGUGACAUCAAAUGCCAGAAUUUAAGUCAAUUGUUUCUUUGAUUUCAAGGUAUACAACUUAACAGUAAUCCAUUUUUCCUCACUGAAAUGAAAUAAAGAUAGAUCUUGGGCCUUUUCAGUUUUAGAACUCAUCAAGAGACAAAGAAGCAUCAUGUAAACAUCAGAUAUUUUCAUUAAGGUUUGUCAACUUCCAGAGAAAAUUUGACAUUUGUCGCAGGCUUGAGUAAAUGUAACCAUAAAUCCAACCAUAGUUGUGUUUUAAAGUUAACCCCAGCUCUGUAUAAUAAAGGGUGCCAGGCAAGGAAGCGGCCUAGAUGUUUUUUUUAGAUGCAGGAAUUGUUCAUUUGUUGUAUAAAAUUAACAUGACUGUCAAGUUUUACUUCAAUAAUUCUUAACGUUUUUAUUCCUAUAAGUGAACAUCUUUCAGGUUUACCAAGAAGCUUCCUGUUUUCUUUUUAAUUUAAUUUGUUGAAUGCUUCUUGUGUAAAUAAACAGCAAAUUUCCUAUCCUUGGCAAACUAAGUGAUUUCCUCUAGUCACCAGUAGAGGGAGCUGUUGGCAUUUGGUUUGGUAUUACUACUCGACCUGGAAGUUCCCUUUUUAAUUAAUUCAAUGUUUGAAAUCAAACCACCGUUUAAAUGUAAUGAUAUUAAUAUGCAAGGAUAGAUGUGUAAACGUGGAGAUUUUCCAUUCCUAUUAAACUUUCUACAGAACCACAGGUUUCUGGUUCUUCUGUGGGCCCCUUUUAGAGAGCUUAUGUUAUAGCAAUACAGGCUGCUAUAAAUUAAAGCUGCUCAGAAUUGAGUUCAUGUACCUAGGCAAUGAUUCAACAUUUCUGAGACUGAUUACAAGUCAAGAAAGAAAGCAGCUUCUUCCCUCAGCUCUUAAGAAAAAAGGAUAGGCAAGAAAAGAAGAAAGCAAAAACGAUGUUUGGCCUCAAGUGAUACUUGAAGUUUUGGAAAGAAAAAUUAUAAAUUCAAGAUUUAUAGUAAUAAGAGUAUCUUUAAUCUGGGGGAAGAAUUCUCUGUAGUUAAGGUUCUGGGCAUAUUUGAUGCUGUCCUUAAGAUAAAAUAUAGCACAUUGAUUUUUCUUAUAUUCCUUCUAACCUGUAGCCAUGAGUUUUAAAUGAUUUAUUUCACAGCGUAUUAAUUGAAACAUAUUUUUACCAUUUGUACUUAGAUUUUAGUUAACAUAGACCCCUAAGUGACAAUUUCCAAGUACUUCACUCAAGUAUUUUCUGUAUCUAACAGAGAGUAAUUUGUAAUGUACAAACUAACCGCAGUGGUUACAAUCCGCAGACAUCUAGCAGAGAGGUGAGGGGUCAUUGUGAUGUUCAGGACCUCUGCUGAAUGGCCUCUGAGAACCACUGUCCCACUCCCUGGGUAAG
This is a long non-coding RNA of Heterocephalus glaber (naked mole-rat), 4811 nucleotides long. RefSeq lists it as uncharacterized. The record is from RefSeq and is a predicted model, not a curated record. Lineage: Eukaryota; Metazoa; Chordata; Mammalia; Rodentia; Bathyergidae.